This 460-nucleotide ribosomal RNA is filed under the name uncultured bacterium. RNAcentral's name for it is "partial 16S ribosomal RNA". It matches the Rfam family "Bacterial small subunit ribosomal RNA", at positions 338 to 795 of the family's 1533-position model. The record is from RNAcentral.
CCUACGGGUGGCAGCAGUGAGGAAUAUUGGUCAAUGGACGAGAGUCUGAACCAGCCAAGUAGCGUGAAUGAUGACUGCCCUAUGGGUUGUAAACUUCGUUUAUAAAGGAAUAAAACGAGGCACGUGUGCCUUUUUGCAUGUACUUUAUGAAUCCGGACCGGCUAAGUCCGUGCCAGCAGCCGCGGUAAUACGGAGGAUCCGAGCGUUAUCCGGAUUUAUUGGGUUUAAAGGGAACGUAGGUGGGUCGUUAAGUCAGAUGUGAAAGUUUGCGGUUCAACCGUAAAAUUGCAAUUGAUACUGGCAGUCUUGAGUACAGAUGAGGUGGGCGGAAUUCGAGGUGUAGCGGUGAAAUGCUUAGAUAUAACGAAGAACCCCGAUUGCGAAGGCAGCUUACUAAACUGUGACUGACAUUGAUGCUCGAAAGUGUGGGUAUCAAACAGGAUUAGAUACCCCAGUAGUC